UACAGAGGCCUCAAGCGUUAGGCGGAAUCACUGGGCUUAAAGCGUGUGUAGGCGGGUCGUUAAGUACCUUGUGAAAUCCCACGGCUUAACUGUGGAACGGCUUGGUAUACUGGCGAUCUUGAGCCACUUAGGGGCUACCGGAACAGAUGGUGGAGCGGUGAAAUGCGUUGAUAUCAUCAGGAAUACCGGAGGCGAAGGCGGCUCACUGGGGGUUUUCUGACGCUGAGGAACGAAAGCCAGGGGAGCGAACGGG
RNAcentral lists this ribosomal RNA (253 nucleotides) under uncultured bacterium. Its description in RNAcentral is "partial 16S ribosomal RNA". It matches the Rfam family "Bacterial small subunit ribosomal RNA", at positions 524 to 776 of the family's 1533-position model. The record is from RNAcentral.